AUGAACGCUAGUGACAGGCCUAACACAUGCAAGUCAGGGGCAGCACAAGGAGCAAUCUGAGGUGGCGACCGGCGCACGGGUGAGUAACACGUAUGCAACCUGCCUGUAAGCGGGGAAUAACCCGUUGAAAGACGGACUAAUACCGCAUAAUACUAAAUUACUGCAUGGUAAUUUAUUUAAACAUUUAUGGCUUACAGAUGGGCAUGCGCAUGAUUAGCUAGUUGGAGAGGUAACGGCUCCCCAAGGCAACGAUCAUUAGGGGUUCUGAGAGGAAGGUCCCCCACACUGGUACUGAGACACGGACCAGACUCCUACGGGAGGCAGCAGUGAGGAAUAUUGGUCAAUGGACGAGAGUCUGAACCAGCCAAGUCGCGUGCAGGAAGAAUGUCCCUAUGGAUUGUAAACUGCUUUUGCAGGGGAAUAAAGUGCAUCACGUGUGAUGUUUUGUAUGUACUCUGCGAAUAAGGAUCGGCUAACUCCGUGCCAGCCGCCGC
This 494-nucleotide ribosomal RNA is filed under the name uncultured bacterium. Its description in RNAcentral is "bacterial SSU rRNA". It matches the Rfam family "Bacterial small subunit ribosomal RNA", at positions 29 to 518 of the family's 1533-position model. The record is from RNAcentral.